Molecule: ribosomal RNA, 424 nt
Filed under: uncultured Methanomethylovorans sp.
Lineage: Archaea; Methanobacteriati; Methanobacteriota; Methanomicrobia; Methanosarcinales; Methanosarcinaceae
Description: bacterial SSU rRNA
Rfam family: Archaeal small subunit ribosomal RNA
Source: RNAcentral
CCUACGGGGGGCUGCAGGCGCGAAAACUUUACAAUGCGGGAAACCGCGAUAAGGGGACACCGAGUGCCAGCAUCCUAUGUUGGCUGUCCAUAUGUCUAAAUCACAUGUGUUAGCAAGGGCCGGGCAAGACCGGUGCCAGCCGCCGCGGUAACACCGGCGGCCCGAGUGGUGGCCACUAUUAUUGGGUCUAAAGGGUCCGUAGCCGGUUUGGUCAGUCUUCCGGGAAAUCUGACGGCUCAACCGUUAGGCUUUCGGGGGAUACUACCAGGCUUGGGACCGGGAGAGGUAAGAGGUACUACGGGGGUAGGAGUGAAAUCUUGUAAUCCCUGUGGGACCACCAGUGGCGAAGGCGUCUUACCAGAACGGGUCCGACGGUGAGGGACGAAAGCUGGGGGCACGAACCGGAUUAGAUACCCUGGUAGUC